This 537-nucleotide ribosomal RNA is filed under the name soil fungal sp. DM2-081. RNAcentral describes it as "eukaryotic LSU rRNA". It matches the Rfam family "Eukaryotic large subunit ribosomal RNA", at positions 103 to 655 of the family's 3401-position model. Lineage: Eukaryota; Fungi. The record is from RNAcentral.
AAGAGCUCAAAUUUGAAAGCUGGCCCCUUCGGGGUCCGCAUUGUAAUUUGCAGAGGAUGCUUCGGGAGCGGCCCCCAUCUAAGUGCCCUGGAACGGGCCGUCAUAGAGGGUGAGAAUCCCGUAUGGGAUGGGGUGUCCGCGCCCGUGUGAAGCUCCUUCGACGAGUCGAGUUGUUUGGGAAUGCAGCUCUAAAUGGGUGGUAAAUUUCAUCUAAAGCUAAAUAUUGGCCGGAGACCGAUAGCGCACAAGUAGAGUGAUCGAAAGAUGAAAAGCACUUUGAAAAGAGAGUUAAAAAGCACGUGAAAUUGUUGAAAGGGAAGCGCUUGCGACCAGACUCGCCCGCGGGGUUCAGCCGGCAUUCGUGCCGGUGUACUUCCCCGUGGGCGGGCCAGCGUCGGUUUGGGCGGCCGGUCAAAGGCCCUCGGAAUGUAACGCCUCUCGGGGCGUCUUAUAGCCGAGGGUGCCAUGCGGCCAGCCCGGACCGAGGAACGCGCUUCGGCUCGGACGCUGGCAUAAUGGUCGUAAGCGACCCGUCUU